GAUGAACGCUGGCGGCGUGCUUAACACAUGCAAGUCGAACGGUGAAGGCGGAGCUUGCUCUGCUGGAUCAGUGGCGAACGGGUGAGUAACACGUGAGCAAUCUGCCCCUGACUCUGGGAUAGGCGCUGGAAACGGCGUCUAAUACUGGAUACGAGCUGCGAAGGCAUCUUCAGCAGCUGGAAAGAACUUCGGUCAGGGAUGAGCUCGCGGCCUAUCAGCUUGUUGGUGAGGUAACGGCUCACCAAGGCGUCGACGGGUAGCCGGCCUGAGAGGGUGACCGGCCACACUGGGACUGAGACACGGCCCAGACUCCUACGGGAGGCAGCAGUGGGGAAUAUUGCACAAUGGGCGAAAGCCUGAUGCAGCAACGCCGCGUGAGGGACGACGGCCUUCGGGUUGUAAACCUCUUUUAGCAGGGAAGAAGCGAAAGUGACGGUACCUGCAGAAAAAGCGCCGGCUAACUACGUG
Molecule: ribosomal RNA, 468 nt
Filed under: uncultured bacterium
Lineage: Bacteria
Description: partial 16S ribosomal RNA
Rfam family: Bacterial small subunit ribosomal RNA
Source: RNAcentral